GACGAACGCUGGCGGCGUGCUUAACACAUGCAAGUCGAACGGAAAGGCCCUGCUUUUGUGGGGUGCUCGAGUGGCGAACGGGUGAGUAACACGUGAGUAACCUGCCCUUGACUUUGGGAUAACUUCAGGAAACUGGGGCUAAUACCGGAUAGGAUCUCCUGCUGCAUGGUGGGGGUUGGAAAGUUUCGGCGGUUGGGGAUGGACUCGCGGCUUAUCAGCUUGUUGGUGGGGUAGUGGCUUACCAAGGCUUUGACGGGUAGCCGGCCUGAGAGGGUGACCGGCCACAUUGGGACUGAGAUACGGACCAGACUCCUACGGGAGGCAGCAGUGGGGAAUAUUGCACAAUGGGCGGAAGCCUGAGGCAGCAACGCCGCGUGCGGGAUGACGGCCUUCGGGUUGUAAACCGCUUUCGCCUGUGACGAAGCGGGAGUGACGGUAAUGGGUAAAGAAGCACCGGCUAACUACGUG
This 468-nucleotide ribosomal RNA is filed under the name uncultured bacterium. Its description in RNAcentral is "partial 16S ribosomal RNA". It matches the Rfam family "Bacterial small subunit ribosomal RNA", at positions 28 to 507 of the family's 1533-position model. The record is from RNAcentral.